Molecule: ribosomal RNA, 460 nt
Filed under: uncultured bacterium
Lineage: Bacteria
Description: partial 16S ribosomal RNA
Rfam family: Bacterial small subunit ribosomal RNA
Source: RNAcentral
CCUACGGGCGGCAGCAGUGAGGAAUAUUGGUCAAUGGACGAAAGUCUGAACCAGCCAAGCCGCGUGCAGGAAGACGGCCCUAUGAGUUGUAAACUUCUUUUGUCGGAGAGCAAAAUCAGGGACGUGUCCCUGUCUGAAUGUAUCGUACGAAUAAGGAUCGGCUAACUCCGUGCCAGCCGCCGCGGUAAUACGGAGGAUACGAGCGUUAUCCGGAUUUAUUUGGUUUAAAGGGUGCGUAGGCGGUCUGAUAAGUUAGCGGUGAAAUCCCGGGGCUCAACCCCGGAAUUGCCUUUGAUACUGGUAGACUAGAGUGGGCGAGAGGUACGCGGAAUGCGAGGUGUAGCGGUGAAAUGCAUAGAUAUCACGCAGAACUCCGAUUGCGAAGGCAGCAUACCGGCGCCCGACUGACGCUGAGGCACGAAAGCGUGGGUAUCGAACAGGAUUAGAUACCCUAGUAGUC